GUGUGAAGAAGGCCUUCGGGUUGUAAAGCACUUUCAGUAGGGAGGAAGGUAGUGUAGUUAACACCUGCAUUAUUUGACGUUACCUACAGAAGAAGCACCGGCUAACUCCGUGCCAGCAGCCGCGGUAAUACGGAGGGUGCGAGCGUUAAUCGGAAUUACUGGGCGUAAAGCGCAUGCAGGCGGCCUGUUAAGUCAGAUGUGAAAGCCCGGGGCUUAACCUCGGAAUUGCAUUUGAAACUGGCAGGCUAGAGUCUUGUAGAGGGGGUAGAAUUUCAGGUGUAGCGGUGAAAUGCGUAGAGAUCUGAAGGAAUACCAGUGGCGAAGGCGGCCCCCCUGGACAAAGACUGACGCUCAGAUGCGAAAGCGUGGGGAGCCAAACAGGAUUAGAUACCCCUGGUAG
Molecule: ribosomal RNA, 400 nt
Filed under: uncultured bacterium
Lineage: Bacteria
Description: bacterial SSU rRNA
Rfam family: Bacterial small subunit ribosomal RNA
Source: RNAcentral